UCAGGACGAACGGCUGGCGGCGUGCCUAAUACAUGCAAGUCGAACGGCUUUUCUAUGGAAGCUUGCUUCCACUGAGAAGAUAGUGGCGAACGGGUGAGUAACACGUGGGUAACCUGCCCAUAAGAGGGGGGAUAACAUCCGGAAACGGGUGCUAAUACCGCAUAGUUUCUUGGUCGCAUGAUCGGGAAGGAAAGACGGCCUUUGUGCUGUCGCUUAUGGAUGGACCCGCGGCGUAUUAGUUAGUUGGUGAGGUAACGGCUCACCAAGACGAUGAUACGUAGCCGACCUGAGAGGGUGAUCGGCCACAUUGGGACUGAGACACGGCCCAAACUCCUACGGGAGGCAGCAGUAGGGAAUCUUCCGCAAUGGACGAAAGUCUGACGGAGCAACGCCGCGUGAGUGAAGAAAAGGUUUUUCGGAUCGUAAAACUCUGUUGUCAGAGAAGAACAAGUUGGAGAGUAACUGCUCCAGCCUUGACGGUAUCUGACCAGAAAGCCACGGCUAACUACGUGCCAGCAGCCGC
RNAcentral lists this ribosomal RNA (523 nucleotides) under uncultured bacterium. RNAcentral's name for it is "bacterial SSU rRNA". It matches the Rfam family "Bacterial small subunit ribosomal RNA", at positions 24 to 518 of the family's 1533-position model. The record is from RNAcentral.